Molecule: ribosomal RNA, 479 nt
Filed under: uncultured bacterium
Lineage: Bacteria
Description: partial 16S ribosomal RNA
Rfam family: Bacterial small subunit ribosomal RNA
Source: RNAcentral
GAUGAACGCUGGCGGCGUGCUUAACACAUGCAAGUCGAACGAAGCACCUUGAUUUGAUUCUUCGGAUGAAGAUCUUGGUGACUGAGUGGCGGACGGGUGAGUAACGCGUGGGUAACCUGCCUCAUACAGGGGGAUAACAGUUAGAAAUGACUGCUAAUACCGCAUAAGACCACCGCACCGCAUGGUGCAGGGGUAAAAACUCCGGUGGUAUGAGAUGGACCCGCGUCUGAUUAGGUAGUUGGUGGGGUAACGGCCUACCAAGCCGACGAUCAGUAGCCGACCUGAGAGGGUGACCGGCCACAUUGGGACUGAGACACGGCCCAAACUCCUACGGGAGGCAGCAGUGGGGAAUAUUGCACAAUGGGGGAAACCCUGAUGCAGCGACGCCGCGUGAGCGAUGAAGUAUUUCGGUAUGUAAAGCUCUAUCAGCAGGGAAGAAAAUGACGGUACCUGACUAAGAAGCACCGGCUAAAUACGUG